RNAcentral lists this ribosomal RNA (1359 nucleotides) under Sepiola robusta. Its description in RNAcentral is "16S ribosomal RNA". The stretch from base 885 to 1246 matches the Rfam family "Archaeal large subunit ribosomal RNA", at positions 2147 to 2719 of the family's 2987-position model. Lineage: Eukaryota; Metazoa; Mollusca; Cephalopoda; Sepiida; Sepiolidae. The record is from RNAcentral.
AUAAAUAAAUUAUUAAAAAUAGUUAAUAUUAAAAGGGUAUAAUAUUAUGUAAAAUUAAAAUUGUUUGUUUUUAUAGUAUUAGAAGUAUAGAAUUAUUGUUUAUUAUAGUACUGUGAAGGAAAUAGUAGUAUAAAUUUUUUUAUAGUAGAUUUAUUAUUCGUACCUUUUGUAUAAUGGGUUAAUAAUAUAUUUGACUUUAAUAGAGGUUAAUCUCGAAUUGAAAAGAUUUACUUAAUAUAUUAUUAUGUUAACGUUGUAUAGUUAUAUAUUAAAUAUUAAGUGGUAAUGAUAUAUUUAUCGAUUUUCAGGAUAGCUAGUUUAUUGAUUUAAAAUAUUUAAGUAUUGUAAUAUUAAAAUAAUUUUUAUUUAUUUAGUAUUAUUUAUGGUAUAGGGGAUAAGCUCUAUAUUAUUCAAUAGAAUUAAAUUAUAGUAUAAUAAAUAAUUAAAGUAGAGUUAAUAAUGCUUUUCUUUAUAAGUAGUUUAAAUUAUAAAAAUUUUGAUAAUUCAGGUAUUAUGUAGUCAUAAAUGUUUAUAAAUUAUUUUAAAUAGAUAUAAUGUUAAUAUGAGUAUUUAUAUAAAUUAUAAAUUUAAUUGUUUUAAUUGGGUAUAAUUAAAAUGUUUAUGUAUAGGGUAAAAUAAAAUAAAGGAAUUCAGCAAAUAUUAAUCUCGCCUGUUUAUCAAAAACAUGUCUCUUUGUAUAUUAUAAAUAAAGAGUCGGGCCUGCUCGGUGAUAGAAUUUUUAACAGCUGCGGUAUUUUAACUGUACUAAGGUAGCAUAAUAGUUUGCCUUAUAAUUUGAGGCUAGAAUGAAUGGUUUGACGAAGGUUAAUCUGUCUCUAUUUUAUUUAAUAGAAAUUAAUUUUUAAAGUGAAAAAGCUUAAAUUUUUUAAAGGGACGAGAAGACCCUAUUGAGCUUAUAAUUUUAUUAGUAUUAUUAAUAUAAUAUUUAAUAAAUUUUAAUUGGGGUGAUUAAGGAAUAAAUUAAUAUUAUUAGUAACUUCCUUAAGUAGUAGGAUAGGUGUAUAAAUUAACCAAUAAUUGUAUUGCUUUUAUCAAAGUUACCAUAGGGAUAACAGCGUAAUUUACUUAAAGAGUUCUUAUUGAAAAGUAAGAUUGCGACCUCGAUGUUGGAUUAAAGUAACCUUAAGGUGUAGAAGCUUUAAUAGGUAAAUCUGUUCGAUUUUUAAAACUUUACAUGAUCUGAGUUCAGACCGGUGUAAGCCAGGUUGGUUUCUAUCUUUUAAAAUAUAAAUAUAGUUUCUUUUAGUACGAAAGGACCAAAGUUAACUAAAUUAUUAAUUAUAAUAUUAAUGUAUAAGUAAACUAAUGAAAUUAGAAUAUUAAAUAAAAUUAAUUUAC